This 301-nucleotide ribosomal RNA is filed under the name uncultured bacterium. Its description in RNAcentral is "partial 16S ribosomal RNA". It matches the Rfam family "Bacterial small subunit ribosomal RNA", at positions 509 to 807 of the family's 1533-position model. The record is from RNAcentral.
CAGUCGCCACGGUAAUACGAAGGGGGCUAGCGUUGUUCGGAAUCACUGGGCGUAAAGGGUGCGUGGGCGGAUUCUUAAGUCAGGGGUGAAAUCCCGAGGCUCAACCUCGGAACUGCCUUUGAUACUGGGGAUCUUGAGUCCGGAAGAGGUGAGUGGAACUGCGAGUGUAGAGGUGAAAUUCGUAGAUAUUCGCAAGAACACCCGUGGCGAAGGCGGCUCACUGGUCCGGAACUGACGCUGAGGCACGACAGCGUGGGGAGCAAACAGGAUUAGAUACCCCCGUAGUCCCUGUCUCUUAUAC